CCAAUAACUUGAGCCAGCCAAGAAGCGAAUUCCCCAAUUUCUUACAAUCGGUGACAAGUUAUCAUUUCUUAAAUGGAAAAUUAUAAUCUAACCCCACUGCUACCUGGAAGAAAACGUUGCUAUCAAGUGUCUAAAAAAGAAAAGUAAAAGACAGAGGAAAGGUUUGCCCCUAAUCUAUAGAAGGCUAUAAUAAAAUAAUAAUAAAGCCUUAUGGGCAUUGAAUAACAUUAUGAUCAAGUUGUUCUUAUGUGUUGAAGUUGCCGGAAAUGCAUCUGGGCCGUUACAUUACUUGGAUCAGAAGCAACAACAGCAGUUUGAUCCUCACCUUUCUUCAUGUUUUCUCCGGAGAUUGAAAGCUUGUCUGAAAUAGAAGAAAAAAAGAGAUGAACAAGAGAGCCCACAACAAGGGGAAGAGAUGAGCAUAUGAUUGCAGCCUGUCUGAUGUUCAUAGCUUAUGAUUGAAAAUAAAAUGGCUUGCUCUUCUGGUUUUCUGGACUUGGAUCAAACAAUAGCUCAAUUUGGAGAUUGUUGUUAUGUGGUGUAUUGGGUAGAAUUUAUAAUGGAGAGUGGAGCGGAG
Molecule: long non-coding RNA, 577 nt
Filed under: Prunus dulcis (almond)
Lineage: Eukaryota; Viridiplantae; Streptophyta; Magnoliopsida; Rosales; Rosaceae
Description: sRNA ncRNA
Source: RNAcentral